UCCUCGUUAGUAUAGUGGUCAGUAUCCCCGCCUGUCACGCGGGAGACCGGUGUUCGAUUCCCCGACGGGGAG
This 72-nucleotide transfer RNA is filed under the name Rhipicephalus microplus (southern cattle tick). Its description in RNAcentral is "tRNA-Asp". It matches the Rfam family "tRNA". From Rfam's summary of the family: Transfer RNA (tRNA) molecules are approximately 80 nucleotides in length. The record is from Rfam by way of RNAcentral. RNAcentral also lists the same sequence under 1 other name. Lineage: Eukaryota; Metazoa; Arthropoda; Arachnida; Ixodida; Ixodidae.